UUAUUGGGGAAAUAUUGGGAAUUUAUUGGGAAUUUAUUGGGAAAAUAUUGAGAAUUUUUUUGGAAUUUAUUGGGAAUUUAUUGAUCAUUUAUUGGGGAUUUAUUGAGGAUUUAUUGGGGAUUUAUUGGGGAAUUUAUUGGGAAAAUAUUGGGAAUUUUAUUGGAAUUUAUUGGGGAAAUAUUGGGGAUUUAUUGAGGAUUUAUUGGGGAUUUAUUGGGGAAUUUAUUGGGAAUUUAUCGGGGAUUUAUCAGGGAUUUAUUGGGAAUUUAUUGAGAAUUUAUUGGGGAUUUAUUGGGGAAAUAUUGGGGAUUUAUUGGGAAUUAUUGAGGAUUUAUUGGGGAUUUAUUGGGAAUUUAUUGGGAAUUUUAUUGGAAUUUAUUGGGAAUUUAUUGGGGAUUUAUUGGGGGAUUUAUUAAGAAUUUAUUGGGAAUUUUAUUGGGAUUUAUUGGGGAUUUAUUGGAAAAUUAUCGAGGAUUUAUUGGGGAAUUAUUGGGAAUUUAUUGAGGGAUUUAUCAGGAAUUUAUUGGGGAUUUAUUGGGAAUUUAUUGGGAAUUUAUUGAGAAUUUAUUGGGGAUUUAUUGAGGAAUUUAUUGGGAAAAUAUUGGGAAUUUUAUUGGAAUUUAUUGGGAAUUUUUUGAGGAUUUAUUGGGGAAAUAUUGGGAAUUUAUUGGGGAUUUAUUAGGAAUUUGUUGAGAAUUUAUUGGGAAAAUAUUAGGGAUUUAUUGGGGAAUUUAUUGAGGGAUUUAUUGGGGAUUUAUUGAGAAUUUAUUGGGAAUUUAUUGAGGAUUUAUUGGGGAUUUAUUGGGGGAUUUAUUAAGAAUUUAUUGGGAAUUUAUUGAGGAUUUAUUGGGAAUUUAUUGGAAUUUAUUGGGGAUUUCUUAAGAACUUAUUGAGAAUUUAUCAGGGAUUUAUCAGGGAUUUAUUGGGAAUUUAUUGGGGAUUUAUUAGGAAUUUAUUGAGGGAUUUAUUGGGGAUUUAUUGAGGAUUUAUUGGGGAUUUAUUAGGAAUUUAUUGAGAAUUUAUUGGGAAUUUAUCAGGGAUUUAUUGGGAAAAUAUUGGGAAUUUAUUGAGAAUUUAUUGGGGAUUUAUUGGGGAUUUAUUAGGAAUUUAUUGGGGAUUUAUUAGGAAUUUAUUGAGAAUUUAUUGGGAAAAUAUUAGGGGUUUAUUGGGGAAUUUAUUGGGAAUUUAUUGGGGAUUUAUUGAGGAUUUUUUGGGGAUUUAUUGGGAAUUUAUUGGGGAUUUAUCAGGAAUUUAUUGGGGAUUUAUUGGGAAUUUAUUGGGGAUUUAUUGGGAAUUUUUUGGGGAUUUAUUGGGGAUUUAUUGGAAUUUAUUGGGGAUUUUAUUGGGGAUUUCUUAAGAACUUAUUGGGAAUUUAUCGGGGAUUUAUCAGGGAUUUAUUGGGGAUUUAUUGGGGAUUUAUUGGGAAUUUAUUGGGAAUUUAUUGGGGAUUUAUUGGGGGAGCUGUACGUGAUGGCCAUCGAGGACAGGCAGUACAAGGACUAUAAAAUCCACUGUGAGUUAUCAAUUAUUGGUAAUUAAUUGGGAAUUUAUUGGGGAUUUAUUGGGGAAUUUAUUGGGGAUUUAUUGGGAAUUUAUUGGGAAUUUAUUGAGGAUUUAUUGGGGAUUUAUUAAGAAUUUAUUGGGGAUUUAUUGGAGAUUUAUUGGGGAUUUUAUUGGGAUUU
RNAcentral lists this long non-coding RNA (1682 nucleotides) under Zonotrichia albicollis (white-throated sparrow). Its description in RNAcentral is "lncRNA (ENSZALG00000001021.1)". Lineage: Eukaryota; Metazoa; Chordata; Aves; Passeriformes; Passerellidae. The record is from RNAcentral.